UCUAAAUUACAAACAGAAUAAGAUGAGUAAGCAAAGAUCAAAGUGAAGAAGGUGUGGAAUUUUGGAGUGCCAGUGGGUAGAAUGGUGUGCCAUGGGAAGGAGAGAGGAGCAUCCUGGAGACGCUCCUUUCACCAACAAGACUUUACACCAGGAAGAGUUCCUUUUAAAAUUGGCCUGGGUGGCAGAGGUCAGAACAUACACAAUUCAACAACAACUUGCGCCACCCACCUCCAAUUCCCUGCUCUACAGGACCAUCCUGACUUCCACAGUGACCCGAGCACUGGCAUUCCAAGGACUCAAAUGACCACCUUCCUCGCCCUUCAAUAAGUAUCUCUCAGUGAAGAAAGUAUUUGGAUGAAUGACAGAAAGCAUCCUGAACUGUGCACCUGCAAAAGAUAUUUCACACAUUCCUUUUUGGACAUUUUGUUAUUUUCCUCUAAGCCGAUAGCCUUUCCAUCUUGUGCAGGAAAGAUCAUUAAGUAUUUCAUAGGCAUAAACAUUUCAUGUUCAAAACUUUUGGUACUUCAGUUGUAAUAUUGUUAUUGUACUACAUAAAUCUAAAAUAAAACCAGCUUCUCUGCCCAGUACCUAUCAGCUGCAAUUUAGGGGAAGUGCCUUUAUAUUUAUAUCCUAUGGGCCCAAUCAGGUAGAAAGAGAAUUAUUCUUUAUCUUGUCUAAUGUCCCCAAAUCUCCCAGGUCCCAAGUCACAGAAAGGCAAUGUGGUAGCAUUCUUCUGGGGACUCAUCAGAUAUAUCCUCAAAGUACUUUUGUCAAAUACAUUAUUCUAAUCAAUGUGAAUCCUAAAAUGUUAUUAUUAAUAGUAUAGUUAUAUGUUGUCAAUUUUUUUUGGAAUAUGAAUCAUUUUUGUAAGUAAUAUGUCAUUUGAUUGUCUCAAAAAUUCUAUCAAGUUAUCCCAUUUUGUGGGUCAAAGAACUAAGGUUCAGGAACAUGAAGGGACUUGCUUCAAUUAAUUGGUCAGGAUGUGAUGGCGGGGAGAUUUGGAGAGGCUCCAGGGUCCAAGGUUGAGCCUUUGUGCUAUUCUAUGUCACUUGGCUUCUGGCAGAGCACAGAUCUUAGAUGUUUAGCUCUUCAGUCACAGGAUGGAGAGGAGGGAAAGUCAGAAGCACGGAGGCGGUCCUGUUGUGUAGCACUGAUUUUCAGAAUCUUCCCCCAACACUUCAUCUUCCUCCUUGUUCUUUUCCUGGCCAAGCCUUAAUUGACCAGUUCUACUUCUAGUUAAGGACCAAUUCCUUCUGGCCCAGUGCUACAAGGACAUUAGCAAUCCCACUCCUUCACGAAGCUGAUUGUGAGUCAUGCCAGUUCCUCCUCCAGGCAGAACCAGGUGUGGGCACUCUUUCUGAGCUCCGCAUCGAACAUGGGGACCUGUGAUGCAGUGUUUUCAGCUCCCACUGGAGAGAUGCAGAGAGGGCGAUUUAUCAGUGACAGUCAAAAAAGCUGGUUCUGCCUCUUUCUAGAGGCAGAUGCAGGGGCCUAGAUGUUGUUAUUAAUCAUUCGUAAACGGUUCUGUGUUCAAAAUAGCAGUGUUUAAAUAUUUCAGAACAGGUCCAGCCUCAUAAAAAGUGGGUUAUGGGCUGUCAUGAUAACAUUUCAUCUCCUUCACCAUGUUGUGGCCGAGAGAAAUAAGCUGUCACUGCCACUUGCAUCCCUGACCCUCCAACAUGCCAGGGCACAGCAGCCAAUGGAGUGUGCUGGCAGCAAGGCAGGGGGGAGAAAGGCAGGACUACUCCAUCAAGAUACCACCAUGAACCAAAAGGGCAAUUUUCCCAUAUUUAGGCUGCCUGUUUGGGUUAACUAUCAACCAAAGACCUUUGUUUUUAAACAGAACCUUUUUUCUCUUUCACAUUUGAUAAAUAAAAGCCUUAGACUGAAAUUCUUUCUGAUUUUACUGCUUCCUUUAAGUUUUACCUCAUGACAUUUUGGAUAGACUGAAUGAAAUCAUAGUUUAUUUCCCUCCCUAUUCCGGUGCCUACCCUGCCCCGCACCUUUCCCACUUUCCCAGUUCUCGGAAUCUGUCUGACGUAACUGUUUAGGGAAGAUGGUAUUAACCUGAUAGCAUCUGAGGAACACCUGCCUGCAUUAUCACUACUUUACUCUGAGUUAGAAACCCCGUGCCCUUUUCAAUAACAAGAACAGGGAGAAACCAUCGUGAAACACACCACUCAGAAAGGAC
RNAcentral lists this long non-coding RNA (2191 nucleotides) under Homo sapiens (human). RNAcentral's name for it is "HSALNT0112554". Lineage: Eukaryota; Metazoa; Chordata; Mammalia; Primates; Hominidae. The record is from RNAcentral.